This is a non-coding RNA of Nylanderia fulva, 344 nucleotides long. The record is from RefSeq and is a predicted model, not a curated record. Lineage: Eukaryota; Metazoa; Arthropoda; Insecta; Hymenoptera; Formicidae.
AGAACAGAAUGCACAAGCAUGGAUUCCAGAAGCGGUUCGAUGUGUAUUAUACAAGCUGGAAAUAGUUGACGAUAAGGCUGUAGUUAUAAAAGAGAAACUUUUUACAAUUUACGGAUAUAAUUUCCGAUGAAAACAAAUUAAAUCAAGCAAAAGAGAUCUUUACUAAGUGUGACGAACAAGCAAAACGAGCGCCAGGAACUAACGAGGAGAAGCUUAUGUUAACUAUUUCAUGCACAAUCCAAUAAAAAAUCUACUCGACAAACCCCCGCAAUGAAAAAAAAAAGAUCACUUUUUCUUUCACAUAAUAUUCAUAUAAAAUAGUAACGAUGAAGAGAUAAAGUAAU